ACGGGUGAGUAAUGUCUGGGGAUCUGCCCGAUAGAGGGGGAUAACCACUGGAAACGGUGGCUAAUACCGCAUAACGUCGCAAGACCAAAGAGGGGGACCUUCGGGCCUCUCACUAUCGGAUGAACCCAGAUGGGAUUAGCUAGUAGGCGGGGUAACGGCCCACCUAGGCGACGAUCCCUAGCUGGUCUGAGAGGAUGACCAGCCACACUGGAACUGAGACACGGUCCAGACUCCUACGGGAGGCAGCAGUGGGGAAUAUUGCACAAUGGGCGCAAGCCUGAUGCAGCCAUGCCGCGUGUAUGAAGAAGGCCUUCGGGUUGUAAAGUACUUUCAGCGGGGAGGAAGGCGAUGUGGUUAAUAACCUUGUCGAUUGACGUUACCCGCAGAAGAAGCACCGGCCAACUCCGUGCCAGCAGCCGCGGUAAUACGGAGGGUGCAAGCGUUAAUCGGAAUUACUGGGCGUAAAGCGCACGCAGGCGGUCUGUUAAGUCAGAUGUGAAAUCCCCGGGCUUAACCUGGGAACUGCAUUUGAAACUGGCAGGCUUGAGUCUCGUAGAGGGGGGUAGAAUUCCAGGUGUA
This 579-nucleotide ribosomal RNA is filed under the name uncultured bacterium. Its description in RNAcentral is "bacterial SSU rRNA". It matches the Rfam family "Bacterial small subunit ribosomal RNA", at positions 102 to 677 of the family's 1533-position model. The record is from RNAcentral.